Nymphaea colorata (pocket water lily) is the source of this 624-nucleotide long non-coding RNA. RefSeq lists it as uncharacterized. The transcript has 2 exons. The record is from RefSeq and is a predicted model, not a curated record. Lineage: Eukaryota; Viridiplantae; Streptophyta; Magnoliopsida; Nymphaeales; Nymphaeaceae.
UUACUGUGCAUCAGGGUAAAAUUGCCGAUUUUGUACGGCUUUUCGUGAUGCAAUCAAACGCAGUAAAAAUCUCCUCGCCGAAACCGAUGGAGCAGGGUAAAUUUACCCUGAAAAAAAGUCGGACCCUGGAGGGUCCGACUUUUUACCGUGGAUUUUUUUUUUGCCUGUUCGGGCUUUGUCUGUUCUCACGCCGCACGCGAUGGAGCAGCCGGCGAUUCCACCCUGGCUUCUCCAUUUUCAUUUUCGCAGUGGACAGCCUGCGAACUCUCCCUCUCCGCGCAGGGGAACUCACUCUCCGGCGACAAAAAGUUCUCCUACAACGUGCGGCUGAUCCAGGAAGCUUCGGUCAGAUUUCAAGGAUGGGGGUUCUGUUACUGCUGGAAAUGCUUCUGAGAUCAGGUCUGCAUUUACUUUUACUCUGCAUUACUAGCAGAUUGUGUUAUAUGAUUUAUUCCCAGUAGUUGUGACAUAGUGUCCAGCUCAAAACAUUUGCUGCACAUGAUGCUUUUAGUUUGAAUAAUUUUUUCUGAUGUUAUGGGGAAAAGAAUCAUCACGAUUCUGUGUUUCUGUGAGUUUUUUUUUUGCUAGCCAAGAAAAACGUGAACUUUAUUCUUGUUCUGCUUA